CCUAUGAAAAGAUGACCCACUUCUUUCCUACAUAAUCUAUAACAAUCAGGGCAUAAACAUUCAUUCUAAAGGUGACAGAUUUUUUAAGGAUCAUUCACCAUCUAGAGUUUAAAUAAUGUUGUUUGGGGUUCUUCUUGUGUCCAUGGUAACAGAGGAGCAGGUGUGAGGCAACAAGAAGCACAUCAGAACAAACCAAGACUUCGCUGAUUUCCAGCUUGUAGCUCUGAAUGAGAGAUGGACUUGAGACUUCUUUGGGCCAUUUCUGCUCAUGUUUUCUCUACUUAUUUACGUUAAAUUGAGCCAAAAUGUGGUGUGGUAAAGUAAUGGUGACUAAUCCUAUUAUAGACUUCUUCAAAAGGGCCAGAAGAGUUAGUCUGAAUUACCUACUCUACUUUUAUUGGAGGAAGAACUCUUUUAAAACUUGCAUUCUGAUGGAACAUAUUAAUAAUUAGUUGAAGUAGAAAAUAUCAUACACUGCAAGGGAUCAUAAAGGAAUCUAAUUUGACUCAUGGAGGACUAGUACAAGCUUCAGUGUGAUUCCCCAGGAAAAUCUUGGAAAUUGCCAAUAGAGAAGAUGUAUUACUAAGUAUCAGAAGUUUUCUUGGAAGGACAUCUAAUAAGUUUCCCAAGAUGUGAUUCUGCCUGUUCAGUAGUUGCUUGAGUGCUGAUGAAAUUCCCCCCAAACACUUCCUAAUAUAUUAUUGAAAUAUUUGAGAUAAAGGAAAGCUGAACAUAUUAAAACUAAUUUUUAAGUGGUGAGAGAAGUGGAAUUGAAGUCUAUUUGAGGAAUUUGAAACAUUUAUCACCCACGGUUUUUCCAAAAAUAUACAUUUGUGUCAGUCUGUCAAACUUUUUAUCAAAAAAAACUGUGAAUUAUCCAUUUAAAAUACAUUUUUAUUACAUUUUCUUCUGUAUCUGAGAAAUAUGCCAGAUGGUAGAAAUUUCCUAGAAGUCUCUGACACUUACAGAUUGAAAGAUGAAUGACGAGAAGACAAGAAUUUGGGUAUCCAGAUUAAUAGAUAGAACUUUACAACUAUUGACUUCUUAUUUGCUCUUGUUGAGUUUUGAAAAGGAAUUAGGCAAGGUAGAUGAAAAUAGAGAUUCUUCUCCCUUCAGUACCCAUGUGAUUUAACACAGCCAUAGAAGGCUCCAAGUUUUGGGGUGUGGGCACAAUUUCAAAGAUAUAUUUCUAUUAAGCUUCUUGAGAGUGAUAUGAAGAAGAAACGAAGUAUAGAGUCUCUCAGAUGCAAAAAUCACUUAGAGGUAGGCCAUGUAUCCAUCCUUAUCACACUUCACUUUUUCCAAGAACUACGACUGGCUUGUCUUUUAUGGCUUUUUAAGAAUCUAACUUCAUUGUGUAAUCAGCUUAUUUCCUCUCCAUUAUUAAUGCCCUAAUUGGCAGGUUUUCUGACCCAUUUUCUUUUCUGUGAUGCUCUUCUAGAUGUCUAAACUUUUCAUAUCACAACAUGGAUUUAGGUAGUUUUUCAGUAAUAAAAGUUGGUGUGAAUAUGCAGUAGUAUGUGGAUUAAUUAACAUACAU
Molecule: long non-coding RNA, 1540 nt
Filed under: Homo sapiens (human)
Lineage: Eukaryota; Metazoa; Chordata; Mammalia; Primates; Hominidae
Description: HSALNT0362707
Source: RNAcentral